UGGGGAAUCUUGCGCAAUGGGCGAAAGCCUGACGCAGCGACGCCGCGUGCGGGAAGAAGGCCUUAGGGUUGUAAACCGCUUUCAGGAGGGACGAAGCCACUCGGGUGAAUAGCCCAGAGGGUGACGGUACCUCCAGAAGAAGCCCCGGCUAACUACGUGCCAGCAGCCGCGGUAAUACGUAGGGGGCAAGCGUUGUCCGGAUUCAUUGGGCGUAAAAAGCGUGUAGGCGGCCAGGUAGGUCGGUUGUGAAAACUGGAGGCUCAACCUUCAGAGGUCGACCGAAACCAUCUGGCUAGAGUCCGGGAGAGGAGAGUGGAAUUCCUGGUGUAGCGGUGAAAUGCGCAGAUAUCAGGAAGAACACCCGUGGCGAAAGCGGCUCUCUGGAACGGUACUGACGCUGAGACGCGAAAGCGUGGGGAGCGGAACAGGGAUUAGAUACCCUGGUAGUCCACGCCGUAAACGAUGGGGCGCUAGGUGUGGGGAGGUGUCGACUCCUUCCGUGCCGCAGCUAAC
This 513-nucleotide ribosomal RNA is filed under the name uncultured Actinomycetes bacterium. RNAcentral describes it as "bacterial SSU rRNA". It matches the Rfam family "Bacterial small subunit ribosomal RNA", at positions 355 to 856 of the family's 1533-position model. Lineage: Bacteria; Bacillati; Actinomycetota; Actinomycetes. The record is from RNAcentral.